GUCAUUUUGUGCAUCAAUUUUGGAAACAAGUUUAUUCAAUUCCCCCUUAAUAGUUGUUGCCAAAAUAGGGAGAAGCUGGGUCUCUGUGUUCACCGCAAAUGCAACUGCAUCCCUGUCCAAGUGAAUUGCUAGUGUGGGGAUUCUCAAUAUGGGCUCCAGAAAUCGAACAAGACGAUGAGCAUAUGAAACAGAACCAUUAUUUUCCUCCCUUAAAA
Molecule: unclassified non-coding RNA, 215 nt
Filed under: Hevea brasiliensis (rubber tree)
Lineage: Eukaryota; Viridiplantae; Streptophyta; Magnoliopsida; Malpighiales; Euphorbiaceae
Source: RNAcentral